GGACCCGCACAAGCAGCGGAGCAUGUGGUUUAAUUCGAAGCAACGCGAAGAACCUUACCAGGUCUUGACAUCCCUCUGAAGUAGCCUUAGCCGGCUAUGUCCUUCGGGACAGGGGAGACAGGUGGUGCAUGGUUGUCGUCAGCUCGUGUCGUGAGAUGUUGGGUUAAGUCCCGCAACGAGCGCAACCCUUGUGUUUAGUUGCCAACAGGUAAGGCUGUGCACUCUAAACAGACUGCCGUGGAUAACACGGAGGAAGGUGGGGAUGACGUCAAAUCAUCAUGCCCCUUAUGAUCUGGGCUACACACGUGCUACAAUGGUCGGUACAACGGGCAGCGAAAGAGUAAUCUGGAGCGAAUCCUAAAAAGCCGAUCCCAGUUCGGAUUGUGGGCUGAAACUCGCCCACAUGAAGUUGGAGUUGCUAGUAAUCGCGAAUCAGAAUGUCGCGGUGAAUGCGUUCCCGGGUCUU
RNAcentral lists this ribosomal RNA (466 nucleotides) under uncultured bacterium. Its description in RNAcentral is "bacterial SSU rRNA". It matches the Rfam family "Bacterial small subunit ribosomal RNA", at positions 917 to 1382 of the family's 1533-position model. The record is from RNAcentral.